CAGUCGCCACGGUAACACGUAGGUGGCAAGCGUUGUCCGGAAUUAUUGGGCGUAAAGGGCUCGCAGGCGGUUUCUUAAGUCUGAUGUGAAAGCCCCCGGCUCAACCGGGGAGGGUCAUUGGAAACUGGGAAACUUGAGUGCAGAAGAGGAGAGUGGAAUUCCACGUGUAGCGGUGAAAUGCGUAGAGAUGUGGAGGAACACCAGUGGCGAAGGCGACUCUCUGGUCUGUAACUGACGCUGAGGAGCGAAAGCGUGGGGAGCGAACAGGAUUAGAUACCCGCGUAGUCCCUGUCUCUUAUAC
This 301-nucleotide ribosomal RNA is filed under the name uncultured bacterium. Its description in RNAcentral is "partial 16S ribosomal RNA". It matches the Rfam family "Bacterial small subunit ribosomal RNA", at positions 509 to 807 of the family's 1533-position model. The record is from RNAcentral.